This is a long non-coding RNA of Gordionus sp. m RMFG-2023, 214 nucleotides long. RefSeq lists it as uncharacterized. The transcript is spliced from 3 exons. Lineage: Eukaryota; Metazoa; Nematomorpha; Gordioida; Chordodea; Parachordodidae. The record is from RefSeq and is a predicted model, not a curated record.
AUGUGAUACAGUAACUAAAUUUAAUAAUUUAGGAACAAAUUCAAUUCAGUUUACAAGCAACUUUCUCAUAAGAGAUACUCAUGAAAGCCCAAAUUUAAUUCAGCCAACCUAAAAUGCAAAAAGAAGAUACAGAGGUCAUGCUUACUUCUGCUUAAGUGGCAAAUAAUUCAGCUUGCAAAUGAUAAUAAAUCAGCAGGAAAAGCAGCUAUUGAAG